This 73-nucleotide transfer RNA is filed under the name Boana cordobae. Its description in RNAcentral is "Hypsiboas cordobae tRNA-Leu". It matches the Rfam family "tRNA". Rfam says of the family: Transfer RNA (tRNA) molecules are approximately 80 nucleotides in length. Their secondary structure includes four short double-helical elements and three loops (D, anti-codon, and T loops). Lineage: Eukaryota; Metazoa; Chordata; Amphibia; Anura; Hylidae. The record is from RNAcentral.
GUUAACGUAGCAAAACCUGGGCGUGCAAAAGAUCUAAGCCCUUUCAAUAGGGGUUCAAAUCCUUUCGUUAACU